Molecule: long non-coding RNA, 1133 nt
Filed under: Vigna radiata
Lineage: Eukaryota; Viridiplantae; Streptophyta; Magnoliopsida; Fabales; Fabaceae
Description: long non-coding RNA (VRAD_LNC014453)
Source: RNAcentral
AAGUGACUCCUAGGUCGUCUCUCAAGGACCAAACUAUGGUUUGUGAAUCAGGUCUAACAGAAAGUGGGGGGUUUUGGGUAAAAGUUUAAAACAUAUAAUGUAAACAUAAACCUUUUUCUAUUGCUAACCGUGACCUAAGUACACCUCUUCCAAAAUAAAAUUAAUCACCAUCAUAAUCCAGCAAAAAAAUAGUAAUGUCUCAUUCUCUAAAUUCAAGCAAGCAAAAACGGAGUGCAUUUGAAGUGAUAGUUGCCCCAACCUCUUCACGCUGAACCUUUUUUCAUUAAAAAAUAAAAAUAAAAAUUCAAAGAUAAAAAAAAAAAAAACUAAGCAUGAGGCUGGACCGUGCCUCCCUCUGCCAGGACUUGAAUAUCCUUGCACACCAACUCCUAAUGAAUUCUUCAUUCACACUAAAAUUUAGGUGCAACUCUCUUCAUUGCAAAGUGUGACAAGACUACUCCCUAUCACCGUACUACAUUUCUUUCUAUCAAAAUUAAUAAGCUUUUUCUCUUUUCAUUCCCAAGGUCAACAAAAUAAAAGCAAAAUAAAUUACUCCAUUCUAAAAAAAAUUGAUUGCAAUGCAAAUGAAAAUAAACGUGAGAAUGUGCCCUUCAUGCUGCAUCAACGUUUCAGUUUCCGAAAAAAAAAUGAGAAAAUGAAAUAUGAACCAUGGCUGUAAUGUGAUACCAAACAAUGCAUUGCUGACUCUUCUUGCUUCAAUUAAAAGGUGCGUGCAAACCUAAAAUGAAACAACAAAGGAUGCUUCUCCAGAACAUGCAAAGUAAAAGAAAAAAAAAAGAAAAAAAAGAAAAGGGUGUGUGGCGCUGGAUGGAUUCCUUUAUCCCGUUCCACCACAAGAAAACAAUAUAAAUCUUCACUCAAAAAUGCACAAAAGAACCAAAAUNAAGGGCCAAACUAUGAUUCUUCCAUGCCACAAAAUAUAGCCAGCGUACAAGUGCGUUUUCGGCAAGCAAAGAAAAGGUUCCAGCUAAAAAAAAAAAACUUCUUUCAUUCAACCACCAUCUAAAAACAUAAACAUUGUUUUCCACAAAAACUUCUUCCAACCACUUUCAAAGCCAAGCGUGACAGCCCUCUGCCAACCUACCGAGAGUGAAUCCCAAAAAUAAUGACGG